This 214-nucleotide long non-coding RNA is filed under the name Elaeis guineensis (African oil palm). RNAcentral's name for it is "long non-coding RNA (EGUI_LNC038605)". The record is from RNAcentral. Lineage: Eukaryota; Viridiplantae; Streptophyta; Magnoliopsida; Arecales; Arecaceae.
CUAGGUAAAAUUCUAGAUAUCAAUCACUUAGUCAAAAUCAAUUACAUAUUCUGGCUUAAAAAUCUAAGAAUUAUUCUUAGUUUCUAAAAAAUUAUGCCAUGUCUUGACCAGGUUAUCCUUAUGUCAUCAACCUAUCCAAUCCAUAGUCAAUGAGCUAUACUUGACAAAUGGCUGGACAAUGACAAUGAAGUUUGGUGCUAUAAACUGGAGCCCA